Molecule: non-coding RNA, 26 nt
Filed under: Mus musculus (house mouse)
Lineage: Eukaryota; Metazoa; Chordata; Mammalia; Rodentia; Muridae
Source: RNAcentral
UUCGAGAACUGCGGCAACAACGAGAU